RNAcentral lists this long non-coding RNA (435 nucleotides) under Nicotiana benthamiana. Its description in RNAcentral is "long non-coding RNA (NBEN_LNC041835)". Lineage: Eukaryota; Viridiplantae; Streptophyta; Magnoliopsida; Solanales; Solanaceae. The record is from RNAcentral.
AGCAUUUUAUUUCAUCUCCAACUUUAGGUUUACAUCGGUACAUGAUUUCAGAGCGUGUACCCGGAUGAUGACAAUAGAAGAAGGAAAAAGGAGUAAUCAGCAACAGUAACACGGUAGCACUAGCAGCAGUAAUAUAACAGCAGCAACAACUCAAUCAAACUCAAGAAAACCCAGAAAAGUUUUAAACCAAACUACAAAAAACAAGUAACCAAUAGUAGUCAACCAAAACAGGUGUAAUUUGGACCAAAACAACUUCACAGACAAACCCAGGCAACCUCAACAGAAACACAAUGCAACCAGACCAUAACACUCAAAUGCAAACAGCUCCAAUAAGCUCUCUCAAACUGAUUUAACCAGAGAAAAACCACAAGACUGAUUCCAGGACGUCUUCCAAGACUGACCAAAACUCUCAAGUUUUUAACUCUCCAAACUCUU